UCGUCAUCGUAGGGUUAGUCGGGUCCUAAGUCGAGUCCGAAAGGGGUAGACGAUGGCAAAUUGAUUAAUAUUUCAAUACCAACAAUAGAGCGUGAUGUAGGGACGCUUAGAGCUAAACGAGCCAACUGAUGGAAUAGUUGGUCGAAAGGUGUAGGUUGAAUCAUUGGCAAAUCCGUGAUUCUCUAUCCGAGACCUGACAGGCACUCGAAGUUCUUCGGAACGGAAGGUGAAUCGUUGAUGCUGUCGAGCCAAGAAAAGCUGCUAAGCAUAUCUAUUGUUGCCCGUACCGCAAACCGACACAGGUGGGUGAGAUGAGUAUUCUAAGGCGCGUGGAAGAAUUCUGGUUAAGGAACUCUGCAAACUAGCACCGUAUCUUCGGUAGAAGGUGUGCCUCGCUAAGUUAGGUGAUUUACUCACUAAAGCUAAGCAGGUUGCAACAAAGAGUCCCUCCCGACUGUUUAC
Molecule: ribosomal RNA, 462 nt
Filed under: uncultured bacterium
Lineage: Bacteria
Description: bacterial LSU rRNA
Rfam family: Bacterial large subunit ribosomal RNA
Source: RNAcentral